Molecule: non-coding RNA, 28 nt
Filed under: Mus musculus (house mouse)
Lineage: Eukaryota; Metazoa; Chordata; Mammalia; Rodentia; Muridae
Source: RNAcentral
UGAGCCAUGGGUCCAGGAAUGCCACCAG